CAAACGACUCUCGNCAACGGAUAUCUCGGCUCUCGCAUCGAUGAAGAACGUAGCGAAAUGCGAUACCUGGUGUGAAUUGCAGAAUCCCGCGAACCAUCGAGUCUUUGAACGCAAGUUGCGCCCGAGGCCUUCGGGUCGAGGGCACGCCUGCCUGGGCGUCACGC
Molecule: ribosomal RNA, 164 nt
Filed under: Canna liliiflora
Lineage: Eukaryota; Viridiplantae; Streptophyta; Magnoliopsida; Zingiberales; Cannaceae
Description: 5.8S ribosomal RNA
Rfam family: 5.8S ribosomal RNA
About the family: 5.8S ribosomal RNA (5.8S rRNA) is a component of the large subunit of the eukaryotic ribosome. It is transcribed by RNA polymerase I as part of the 45S precursor that also contains 18S and 28S rRNA. Functionally, it is thought that 5.8S rRNA may be involved in ribosome translocation.
Source: RNAcentral